RNAcentral lists this ribosomal RNA (406 nucleotides) under uncultured bacterium. RNAcentral's name for it is "partial 16S ribosomal RNA". It matches the Rfam family "Bacterial small subunit ribosomal RNA", at positions 30 to 526 of the family's 1533-position model. The record is from RNAcentral.
AUUGAACGCUGGCGGCAGGCUUAACACAUGCAAGUCGAGCGAGCGGCGGACGGGUGAGUAAUGUCUGGGAAACUGCCUGAUGGAGGGGGAUAACUACUGGAAACGGUAGCUAAUACCGCAUACCAUCAGAUGUGCCCAGAUGGGAUUAGCUAGUAGGUGGGGUAAUGGCUCACCUAGGCGACGAUCCCUAGCUGGUCUGAGAGGAUGACCAGCCACACUGGAACUGAGACAGGGUCCAGACUCCUACGGGAGGCAGCAGUAGGGAAUCUUCCGCAAUGGGCGAAAGCCUGACGGAGCAAUGCCGCGUGAGUGAUGAAGGUCUUCGGGUCGUAAAACACUGUUAUCAGGGAAGCGGUACCUAAUGAAAAAGCCCCGGCUAACUACGUGCCAGCAGCCGCGGUAAUAC